UCGCCGCCCGUGACUCGGCGAGAAGUCCAUUGAACCUUAUCAUUUAGAGGAAGGAGAAGUCGUAACAAGCUUUCCGUAGCUGAACCUGCGGAAGGAUCAUUG
RNAcentral lists this ribosomal RNA (102 nucleotides) under Cyrtochilum edwardii. RNAcentral's name for it is "partial 18S ribosomal RNA". It matches the Rfam family "Eukaryotic small subunit ribosomal RNA", at positions 1730 to 1831 of the family's 1831-position model. Lineage: Eukaryota; Viridiplantae; Streptophyta; Magnoliopsida; Asparagales; Orchidaceae. The record is from RNAcentral.